GACGAACGCUGGCGGCGUGCUUAACACAUGCAAGUCGAGCGGUAAGGCCCUUUCGGGGGUACACGAGCGGCGAACGGGUGAGUAACACGUGGGUGACCUGCCCUCAGCUCUGGGAUAAGCCUGGGAAACCGGGUCUAAUACUGGAUAUGACUCCAUGACGCAUGUUGUGGGGUGGAAAGCCUUGUGCGGCUGAGGAUGGGCCCGCGGCCUAUCAGCUUGUUGGUGGGGUGAUGGCCUACCAAGGCGACGACGGUAGCCGGCCUGAGAGGGCGACCGGCCACACUGGACUGAGACACGGCCCAGACUCCUACGGGAGGCAGCAGUGGGGAAUCUUGCGCAAUGGGCGAAAGCCUGACGCAGCGACGCCGCGUGAGGAUGACGG
This 382-nucleotide ribosomal RNA is filed under the name uncultured bacterium. RNAcentral describes it as "bacterial SSU rRNA". It matches the Rfam family "Bacterial small subunit ribosomal RNA", at positions 28 to 414 of the family's 1533-position model. The record is from RNAcentral.